Molecule: ribosomal RNA, 292 nt
Filed under: uncultured bacterium
Lineage: Bacteria
Description: partial 16S ribosomal RNA
Rfam family: Bacterial small subunit ribosomal RNA
Source: RNAcentral
GUGUCAGCCGCCGCGGUAAUACGUAGGUGGCAAGCGUUGUCCGGAUUUAUUGGGUUUAAAGGGUGCGUAGGCGGCUUUGUAAGUCAGUGGUGAAAUACUCCAGCUCAACUGGAGAGGUGCCAUUGAUACUGCAGAGCUAGAGUACUGAUGAGGUAGGCGGAAUGGACGGUGUAGCGGUGAAAUGCUUAGAUAUCGUCCAGAACACCGAUAGCGAAGGCAGCUUACUAAAGAGUAACUGACGCUGAGGCACGAAAGUGUGGGGAUCAAACAGGAUUAGAUACCCGGGUAGUCC